Long non-coding RNA from Cynoglossus semilaevis (tongue sole), 613 nucleotides. RefSeq lists it as uncharacterized. Lineage: Eukaryota; Metazoa; Chordata; Actinopteri; Pleuronectiformes; Cynoglossidae. The record is from RefSeq and is a predicted model, not a curated record. The transcript has 4 exons.
AUGGGGGUAUUGGAGGUAAAGACGCCAGGGGGCAGGUGUUUACUGUUUGGGAUUGAGAGGAGGAGGUGGUGGAGACUGCAUCACACCACUGAGUGGCCUGUAGUGGAGACGAAAGACGAGAGACGAGAGAGAAGAAAGCGUGGACAGCAGCCUCUGUGUGUUGUCCAGUGUUGUCCAGCAGUCGGACAGACAGUGGGACAUGUCUCUCAGCUUCUCUCUCACUGGAGGAAGACGGAUCUGGACCUCACUCAGUCCGACCCAGUCCAGCUCACACCAGUUCUCCAAGUCGUUGAGCACAGACAGUGUCUCACUGUGAAGAUCCUAGAAGAGUCAAGAAGAUCCCCUGUCCCAUAAGUCUCUGACUUUGGAAAGUCAAGGCUGCUAAAGAAAUACACACAUGUCUAUACCUGGGAGAGUAAAGGUGGCGCUGUGCUCUCAAAAGGGGGAUAAAGUGACGACAGUGCCCCCUGGACGCAGUCCUCCAUCGCCUCCGAACCCUGAGAGGAUAAAGAAACAGAUAAACAGACGACUCUAACACAGACAAGACAGCAGUCAGAGAAAGGCUGUCCACGAGCCAGUCGACGGUCCACCAUCAUCUCUACUCUUCCAUCCA